Molecule: ribosomal RNA, 350 nt
Filed under: uncultured bacterium
Lineage: Bacteria
Description: bacterial SSU rRNA
Rfam family: Bacterial small subunit ribosomal RNA
Source: RNAcentral
GACGAACGCUGGCGGCGUGCUUAACACAUGCAAGUCGAACGGGUGUAGCAAUACAUCAGUGGCAGACGGGUGAGUAACACGUGGGAACCUUCCUAGGGGUACGGAACAACUCAGGGAAACUUGAGCUAAUACCGUACACGUCCGUAAGGAGAAAGAUUCAUCGCCCCUAGACGGGCCCGCGUCGGAUUAGGUAGUUGGUGGGGUAACGGCCUACCAAGCCUACGAUCCGUAGCUGAUCUGAGAGGAUGAUCAGCCACACUGGGACUGAGACACGGCCCAGACUCCUACGGGAGGCAGCAGUAGGGAAUCUUGCACAAUGGACGAAAGUCUGAUGCAGCGACGCCGCGUGU